UAUAACAUAAUAAAACUUUCAACAACGGAUCUCUUGGCUCUCGCAUCGAUGAAGAACGCAGCGAAAUGCGAUAAGUAAUGUGAAUUGCAGAAUUCAGUGAAUCAUCGAAUCUUUGAACGCACCUUGCGCUCCUUGGUAUUCCGAGGAGCAUGCCUGUUUGAGUGUCAUGAAACCCUCAAACCCAAGUUUUGGAUUUCGAUCCAUGCUUGAGUUUGGAUUUGGAUGUUUGCCGGUGAUGAACCGACUCAUCUUAAAAGUAUUAGCUUGGAUCUGUCUAUAUGACUGGUUUGACUUGGCAUAAUAAGUAUUUUGCUGAGGACAUCUUCGGAUGGCCAGGACCUAGACUACUGUCUGCUAACUAAACCAUCACUUUAAGUGCAUCUUUGGAUGUUACUCAUUGUGUAACUUUGACAUCUGGCCUCAAAUCAAGUAGGACUACCCGCUGAACUUAAGCA
This 455-nucleotide ribosomal RNA is filed under the name uncultured fungus. Its description in RNAcentral is "eukaryotic LSU rRNA". The stretch from base 14 to 167 matches the Rfam family "5.8S ribosomal RNA". The record is from RNAcentral. Lineage: Eukaryota; Fungi.